CGAGCGAACUGAUUAGAAGCUUGCUUCUAUGACGUUAGCGGCGGACGGGUGAGUAACACGUGGGCAACCUGCCUGUAAGACUGGGAUAACUUCGGGAAACCGAAGCUAAUACCGGAUAGGAUCUUCUCCUUCAUGGGAGAUGAUUGAAAGAUGGUUUCGGCUAUCACUUACAGAUGGGCCCGCGGUGCAUUAGCUAGUUGGUGAGGUAACGGCUCACCAAGGCAACGAUGCAUAGCCGACCUGAGAGGGUGAUCGGCCACACUGGGACUGAGACACGGCCCAGACUCCUACGGGAGGCAGCAGUAGGGAAUCUUCCGCAAUGGACGAAAGUCUGACGGAGCAACGCCGCGUGAGUGAUGAAGGCUUUCGGGUCGUAAAACUCUGUUGUUAGGGAAGAACAAGUACAAGAGUAACUGCUUGUACCUUGACGGUACCUAACCAGAAAGCCACGGCUAACUACGUGCCAGCAGCCGCGGUAAUACGUAGGUGGCAAGCGUUAUCCGGAAUUAUUGGGCGUAAAGCGCGCGCAGGCGGUUUCUUAAGUCUGAUGUGAAAGCCCACGGCUCAACCGUGGAGGGUCAUUGGAAACUGGGGAACUUGAGUGCAGAAGAGAAAAGCGGAAUUCCACGUGUAGCGGUGAAAUGCGUAGAGAUGUGGAGGAACACCAGUGGCGAAGGCGGCUUUUUGGUCUGUAACUGACGCUGAGGCGCGAAAGCGUGGGGAGCAAACAG
RNAcentral lists this ribosomal RNA (731 nucleotides) under Bacillus sp. FJAT-4640. RNAcentral describes it as "bacterial SSU rRNA". It matches the Rfam family "Bacterial small subunit ribosomal RNA", at positions 63 to 775 of the family's 1533-position model. The record is from RNAcentral. Lineage: Bacteria; Bacillati; Bacillota; Bacilli; Caryophanales; Bacillaceae.